CGCGUAGGUGGUAGUGUAAGUCUGGGUGGAAUCCCAGGGCUCAACCCUGGAACUGCCUUGGAAACUGCAUUACUUGAGUCAGUGAGGGGAGGGUAGAAUUCCUGGUGUAGCGGUGAAAUGCGUAGAUAUCAGGAGGAAGGCCUGUGGCGAAGGCGGCCCUCUGGCGCUGGACUGACACUGAGGCGCGAAAGCGUGGGGAGCAAACAGGAUUAGAUACCCUGGUAGUCCACGCCCUAAACGGUGGGCACUAGGUGUAGGGCUCGGUAAGGGUUCUGUGCCGAAGGGAACCAUUAAGUGCCCCGCCUGGGGAGUACGGCCGCGAAGGUUGAA
Molecule: ribosomal RNA, 330 nt
Filed under: uncultured bacterium
Lineage: Bacteria
Description: bacterial SSU rRNA
Rfam family: Bacterial small subunit ribosomal RNA
Source: RNAcentral